AGAACGAACGCUGGCGGCGUGCCUGACACAUGCAAGUCGAACGAGAAACCGGUCUUCGGACCGGGAGUACAGUGGCGCACGGGUGAGUAACGCGUGAGUAACCUACCCUCAUGCCUGGAAUAACGUUGGGAAACUGGCGCUAAUACCAGAUGAGGUCCGGAGCCGCAAGGUAUCCGGACCAAAGCAGGCCUAUGGUUUACUAUGCUUGCGCAAGGGGAUGGGCUCGCGUCCCAUUAGCUAGUUGGCAGGGUAAUGGCCUACCAAGGCGACGAUGGGUAGCCGGCCUGAGAGGGUGUCCGGCCACACUGGAACUGAAACACGGUCCAGACUCCUACGGGAGGCAGCAGUGAGGAAUUUUGCGCAAUGGGCGAAAGCCUGACGCAGCGACGCCGCGUGGGCGAUGAAGC
RNAcentral lists this ribosomal RNA (407 nucleotides) under uncultured soil bacterium. RNAcentral's name for it is "bacterial SSU rRNA". It matches the Rfam family "Bacterial small subunit ribosomal RNA", at positions 26 to 414 of the family's 1533-position model. The record is from RNAcentral.